RNAcentral lists this ribosomal RNA (397 nucleotides) under uncultured bacterium. Its description in RNAcentral is "partial 16S ribosomal RNA". It matches the Rfam family "Bacterial small subunit ribosomal RNA", at positions 523 to 918 of the family's 1533-position model. The record is from RNAcentral.
AUACGUAGGGGGCGAGCGUUGUCCGGAAUGAUUGGGCGUAAAGGGCGCGUAGGCGGCCCGGUAAGUCUGGAGUGAAAGUCCUGUUUUUAAGAUGGGAAAUGCUUUGGAUACUGUCGGGCUUGAGUGCAGGAGAGGUAAGUGGAAUUCCCAGUGUAGCGGUGAAAUGCGUAGAGAUUGGGAGGAACACCAGUGGCGAAGGCGACUUACUGGACUGUAACUGACGCUGAGGCGCGAAAGUGUGGGGAGCAAACAGGAUUAGAUACCCUGGUAGUCCACACUGUAAACGAUGAAUGCUAGGUGUAGGGGGUAUCGACCCCUUCUGUGCCGCAGUCAACACAAUAAGCAUUCCGCCUGGGGAGUACGGCCGCAAGGUUGAAACUCAAAGGAAUUGACGGGG